AAGUCGUAACAAAGUUUCCGUAGGUGAACCUGCGGAAGGAUCAUUAACACGUAUCCAAACGUUAAAACCCCCCCCGUGAACCUUCAUCCUGCGCAAUCUCUGAUAAAUUAUAGCCCGGAAAGUUGUAGUGAUUCAGAGACCUCUGGCUACGUGCGAACAUUGGAACAGUUACAAUCGAGCGGUAGUUCUAUAGGCAAUGUUUCCCCAAGCAGUCAGUGUCGGAAAGUGUCAUUGAUUGUGCAAGGCAGGAGCUUUGCCAAAGGGUCCCCAUGCCCCCUAAUAACCCCACAGUUUAAUGUGAAGCUCAAUGUAAUACAUUGGGUAAAAAAACCGAACCACACAAUGGAUAUCUUGGUUCUC
This 360-nucleotide unclassified non-coding RNA is filed under the name fungal sp. RNAcentral describes it as "partial internal transcribed spacer region". The stretch from base 1 to 46 matches the Rfam family "Eukaryotic small subunit ribosomal RNA", at positions 1786 to 1831 of the family's 1831-position model. Lineage: Eukaryota; Fungi. The record is from RNAcentral.